This 316-nucleotide long non-coding RNA is filed under the name Vulpes vulpes (red fox). Its description in RNAcentral is "lncRNA (ENSVVUG00000025153.1)". The record is from RNAcentral. Lineage: Eukaryota; Metazoa; Chordata; Mammalia; Carnivora; Canidae.
CUGACCUGCAGACCUGCGGCCCCUGCAAGAGCGCUUCGAUAGAGCGCUAGCCAGCUGCUAAAGCUCAGCCCCUCGGCUUGCUAAGAGUUAAUUUCACAUCUGGAUCUGGUCAGCCUGAGGCCAAGCGUAAAAGUCAAUAGCGAACCAAGGAACACCACUGCAAGGAAGGCAGACGGCACCAAUGCCUGCCUUUUGCCAUACUCCAACCUGUUGAACUGCCAGAAAGAGGAAGCAAAAGGAAGCAAACAAGAUUAUGGAUUUGUCUUUCCCAGGAGCUGCCCAUCAUGGACAGGACCACACGGUGAGCAUGACUCCA